Molecule: ribosomal RNA, 831 nt
Filed under: uncultured Acidobacteriota bacterium
Lineage: Bacteria; Pseudomonadati; Acidobacteriota
Description: bacterial SSU rRNA
Rfam family: Bacterial small subunit ribosomal RNA
Source: RNAcentral
AUAGUUUGAUGAUGGCUCAGAACGAACGCUGGCGGCGUGCCUCUUACAUGCAAGUCGAACGGGAACCGCGGAGCUUGCUCCGCGACUUCUAGUGGCGCACGGGUGAGUAACGCGUAGGCAACCUGCCGUCCGGUUGGGGAUAACCCCGGGAAACCGGGGCUAAUACCGAAUACGUUCGCGGGGUCUUCGGACCAUGCGAGGAAAGGCAGCCUCUGCUUGCACGCUGUCGCCGGAUGAUGGGCCUGCGUUCUAUUAGCUUGUUGGUGGGGUAACGGCCUACCAAGGCAACGAUGGAUAGCCGGCCUGAGAGGGUGUUCGGCCACACUGGGACUGAGACACGGCCCAGACUCCUACGGGAGGCAGCAGUGGGGAAUCUUGCACAAUGGGCGCAAGCCUGAUGCAGCGACGCCGCGUGAGCGAUGAAGGCCUUCGGGUCGUAAAGCUCUGUUGUAGAGGAAGAAACGCUCCGAGGCGAAUAGCCUCGGGGCCUGACGGUACUCUAUAAGAAAGCCCCGGCUAACUCCGUGCCAGCAGCCGCGGCAAAACGGAGGGGGCGAGCGUUGUUCGGAAUUACUGGGCGUAAAGAGCACGUAGGCGGUCGGGUAAGUCGGGUGUGAAAUCCCCGGGCUCAACUCGGGAACUGCGCCCGAAACUACUCGACUUGGGUACGGAAGAGGAGAGUGGAAUUCCCAGUGUAGCGGUGAAAUGCGUAGAUAUUGGGAGGAACACCUGUGGCGAAAGCGACUCUCUGGUCUGAUACCGACGCUGAGGUGCGAAAGCUAGGGGAGCGAACAGGAUUAGAUACCCUGGUAGUCCUAGCCGUAAACGUUG